Long non-coding RNA from Rhincodon typus (whale shark), 660 nucleotides. RefSeq lists it as uncharacterized. Lineage: Eukaryota; Metazoa; Chordata; Chondrichthyes; Orectolobiformes; Rhincodontidae. The record is from RefSeq and is a predicted model, not a curated record. The transcript has 2 exons.
CGUGGGAUCCACACUUCAAAUUGAGUGUUUUAAAACCCGAUAACGCUACUCACUCACCCUGCUCUUCAGUCCGAAUCGGAGAAGGUUACAGUCCAUUCUUAUUUAACUACUUCGCUACUGUCACUUUUGUCCAUUGGGAUCCAGUCUAAAAUAGAGCCCUGGUUUCCCACUGAAGGCAGCAAUGCCCAGUUUUUGCUUCUGCUUACCUUCUGGGGAGAGCUCGGUCGUGGUGGCAUCAGCAGCGAUGGCAAUGUGGCAAGUGGAAGGCAGUAAGAAGGCGGCUUCCUCAGAGUUUGGAGCGUGGUGACAGCUGGUGAGCCCAGAGCUGGACCCUGGCGGAUGGUGGUGAGGCGAUGGCUGAUAGAGGGGCAAGCACAGGACCCAGUAUUGGCUGGAACAUCAGAGGAGGUGAUGCCUGACGAGGUAGACCCAACGGCAAAAGAUGGCGUUUGAAGAUCAGUGAGUUGGCUCUGGUGCUGGCAGCGGCGAAGUGGAGGCACAAGGGUUAUGGACUGUCUUUUAACUAUAUUUUUUUUAUUACUAUUCUUAAACUAUUCAAGAUGGCACCAGAAUCGUGGCAACAAUGGAAGCUUUCACUGUGUUACUGUAUUUUUUUUCCUGUAAAAUUCUCGUGACAAUAAAAUCAUUCAGUGAACAUUG